RNAcentral lists this ribosomal RNA (377 nucleotides) under uncultured bacterium. RNAcentral's name for it is "bacterial SSU rRNA". It matches the Rfam family "Bacterial small subunit ribosomal RNA", at positions 521 to 896 of the family's 1533-position model. The record is from RNAcentral.
UAAUACGAGGGGGGCAAGCGUUGUCCGGAUUUAUUGGGCGUAAAGAGUUCGUAGGCUGAUUGGUCAGUCGAAAUUUAAAUCCCACGGCUUAACCGUGGAUCCGAUUUCGAUACUGCCAAUCUUGAGUGAGGUAGGGGUAAGCGGAAUUCCUGGUGUAGCGGUGAAAUGCGUAGAUAUCAGGAGGAACACCAAAAGCGAAGGCAGCUUACUGGACCUAUACUGACGCUGAGGAACGAAAGCGUGGGGAGCAAACAGGAUUAGAGACCCUGGUAGUCCACGCCGUAAACGAUGAGUACUUGGUGGUGGGGGAUUCGACCCCUUCACUGUCGGAGCUAACGCGUUAAGUACUCCGCCUGGGAACUACGACCGCAAGGUUG